RNAcentral lists this ribosomal RNA (493 nucleotides) under Bacillus sp. (in: firmicutes). Its description in RNAcentral is "bacterial SSU rRNA". It matches the Rfam family "Bacterial small subunit ribosomal RNA", at positions 155 to 633 of the family's 1533-position model. Lineage: Bacteria; Bacillati; Bacillota; Bacilli; Caryophanales; Bacillaceae. The record is from RNAcentral.
AACCGGGGCUAAUACCGGAUAACAUUUUGAACUGCAUGGUUCGAAAUUGAAAGGCGGCUUCGGCUGUCACUUAUGGAUGGACCCGCGUCGCAUUAGCUAGUUGGUGAGGUAACGGCUCACCAAGGCAACGAUGCGUAGCCGACCUGAGAGGGUGAUCGGCCACACUGGGACUGAGACACGGCCCAGACUCCUACGGGAGGCAGCAGUAGGGAAUCUUCCGCAAUGGACGAAAGUCUGACGGAGCAACGCCGCGUGAGUGAUGAAGGCUUUCGGGUCGUAAAACUCUGUUGUUAGGGAAGAACAAGUGCUAGUUGAAUAAGCUGGCACCUUGACGGUACCUAACCAGAAAGCCACGGCUAACUACGUGCCAGCAGCCGCGGUAAUACGUAGGUGGCAAGCGUUAUCCGGAAUUAUUGGGCGUAAAGCGCGCGCAGGUGGUUUCUUAAGUCUGAUGUGAAAGCCCACGGCUCAACCGUGGAGGGUCAUUGGAAAC